This 369-nucleotide ribosomal RNA is filed under the name Anomala mongolica. Its description in RNAcentral is "partial 16S ribosomal RNA". The record is from RNAcentral. Lineage: Eukaryota; Metazoa; Arthropoda; Insecta; Coleoptera; Scarabaeidae.
ACCGUGCAAAGGUAGCAUAAUCAUUAGUUUUUUAAUUGAAAGCUGGAAUGAACGGUUGGACGAGAAAAUAACUGUCUCAAUUUAAUUGAAUGUAGAAUUUUAUUUAUAAGUAAAAAAGCUUAUAUAAAUUUAAAAGACGAGAAGACCCUAUAGAGUUUUAUAGUUUUUUGUAGUAAAGAAUUUUAGUAUGUUUAUAUUUUUGAUACAGAAACCUAUUUUGCUGGGGCAGCAGAAAAAUUAACUAAACUUUUUUUAUAUAUUUUACAUUGAUUUAUGAUUUAAUGAUCCAUUUUUUAUGAUUACAAGAUUAAAUUACCUUAGGGAUAACAGCGUAAUUUUUUUUUAGAGUUCUUAUCGAAAAAAGAGUUU